AGAGUUUGAUCCUGGCUCAGAAUGAACGCUGGCGGCGUGCUUAACACAUGCAAGUCGUACGAGAACGCUUCAGCUUGCUGAAGCUAGUAAAGUGGCGUACGGGUGAGUAACGCGUGGGUAAUCUACCUUCGAAUUGGGGAUAACGUUGCGAGAGUGACGCUAAUACCGGAUAAUAUCAUAGAGACUUUGGUUUUUAUGAUCAAAGAUGGCCUCUCCUUGGAAGCUAUUGUUUGGAGAUGAGCCCGCGUCCCAUUAGCUUGUUGGUGGGGUAAUGGCCUACCAAGGCUACGAUGGGUAGCUGGUCUGAGAGGAUGAUCAGCCACACUGGAACUGACACACGGUCCAGACUCCUACGGGAGGCAGCAGUGAGGAAUUUUGCGCAAUGGGGGAAACCCUGACGCAGCAACGCCGCGUGAGUGAUGAAGGCUUUCGGGUCGUAAAGCUCUGUCAAGUGGGAAGAACUCCCGUGAGGUUAAUACCCUCAUGGUUUGACGGUACCACUGAAGGAAGCACCGGCUACUCCGUGCCAGCAGCCGCGGUAAUACGGGGGGUGCAAGCGUUAUUCGGAUUUACUGGGCGUAAAGCGCGCGUAGGCGGCCGUUUAAGUCAGAUGUGAAAGCCCGGGGCUCAACCCCGGAAGUGCAUUUGAUACUAUUCGGCUUGAGUAUGGGAGAGGGAAGUGGAAUUCCUGGUGUAGAGGUGAAAUUCGUAGAUAUCAGGAGGAACACCGGUGGCGAAGGCGACUUCCUGGACCAAUACUGACGCUGAGGCGGGAAGGCGUGGGUAGCAAACAGGAUUAGAUACCCUGGUAGUCCACGCAGUAAACGGUGAUCACUAGGUGUAGCGGGUAUUGACCCCUGCUGUGCCGCAGCUAACGCAUUAAGUGAUCCGCCUGGGGAGUACGGCCGCAAGGUUAAAACUCAAAGGGAUUGACGGGGGCCCGCACAAGCGGUGGAGCAUGUGGUUUAAUUCGACGCAACGCGAAGAACCUUACCUGGAUUUGACAUCUCGGGAAUUUCUAUGAAAGUAGGAAGUGCCCUUCGGGGAGCCCGAUGACAGGUGCUGCAUGGCUGUCGUCAGCUCGUGUCGUGAAAUGUUGGGUUAAGUCCCGCAACGAGCGCAACCCCUAUCUUUAGUUACCAGCACUUCGGGUGGGGACUCUAAAGAUACUGCCCCGGUCAACGGGGAGGAAGGUGGGGAUGACGUCAAGUCCUCAUGG
Molecule: ribosomal RNA, 1219 nt
Filed under: metagenome
Description: bacterial SSU rRNA
Rfam family: Bacterial small subunit ribosomal RNA
Source: RNAcentral